Molecule: ribosomal RNA, 835 nt
Filed under: uncultured bacterium
Lineage: Bacteria
Description: bacterial SSU rRNA
Rfam family: Bacterial small subunit ribosomal RNA
Source: RNAcentral
UGCAGUCGAGCGGCAGCACGGGGAGCUUGCUCCCUGGUGGCGAGCGGCGGACGGGUGAGUAAUGCAUAGGAAUCUGCCCGGUAGUGGGGGAUAACGUGGGGAAACCCACGCUAAUACCGCAUACGUCCUACGGGAGAAAGCGGAGGAUCUUCGGACUUCGCGCUAUCGGAUGAGCCUAUGUCGGAUUAGCUAGUUGGUAAGGUAACGGCUUACCAAGGCGACGAUCCGUAGCUGGUCUGAGAGGAUGAUCAGCCACACUGGGACUGAGACACGGCCCAGACUCCUACGGGAGGCAGCAGUGGGGAAUAUUGGACAAUGGGCGAAAGCCUGAUCCAGCCAUGCCGCGUGUGUGAAGAAGGCUUUCGGGUUGUAAAGCACUUUCAGCGAGGAAGAAAGCCUCUGGAUUAAUACCCCAGAGGAAGGACAUCACUCGCAGAAGAAGCACCGGCUAACUCCGUGCCAGCAGCCGCGGUAAUACGGAGGGUGCGAGCGUUAAUCGGAAUUACUGGGCGUAAAGCGCGCGUAGGUGGCUUGGCACGCCGGUUGUGAAAGCCCCGGGCUCAACCUGGGAACGGCAUCCGGAACGGCCAGGCUAGAGUGCAGGAGAGGAAGGUAGAAUUCCCGGUGUAGCGGUGAAAUGCGUAGAGAUCGGGAGGAAUACCAGUGGCGAAGGCGGCCUUCUGGCCUGACACUGACACUGAGGUGCGAAAGCGUGGGUAGCAAACAGGAUUAGAUACCCUGGUAGUCCACGCCGUAAACGAUGUCNACUAGCCGUUGGGACCUUUAAGGACUUAGUGGCGCANUUAACGCGAUAAGUCGACCGCCUGGGGAGUAC